GCAGUCGUGGCCGAGUGGUUAAGGCGUCAGACUCGAAAUCUGAUGGGGUCUCCCCGCACAGGUUCGAAUCCUGUCGGCUGCG
Molecule: non-coding RNA, 82 nt
Organism: Amphibalanus amphitrite
Lineage: Eukaryota; Metazoa; Arthropoda; Thecostraca; Balanomorpha; Balanidae
Source: the annotation of a RefSeq genome assembly